UUCUGGGAAUCUGGUGCUCAGAACUGUGUUAUGUGAGACCUGGAAUGAGAUGAAUGUUGGAAAUCCUGUGUUCCUAAAACAGUGUUGGGAAUAGGACUCUGAGCCAAAGCUUUGGCCACUUCCUUAUAGCAAUCACUGUAGAAAUGCAUAAGGCACAAUUAAUGGAAGAUACAACCUCCUGCAUCCCUCCUUACAUCCUUCAACCGGUCCUGCGACAUCUCAAAGAUUCCUUGAUACUGUACAAUAACAGGGAGGCUGAUGGUGCUGCACAUGAUAGUGCUCCAGAAAUGGCCCUGUUUCUGCACCAAAUGUUGCCAAAAGGAGCAGCAAACAUCUAUUCAGUCUUCAAGUACUGAUAUCUUGCACAGUUUUG
Molecule: long non-coding RNA, 373 nt
Organism: Ficedula albicollis (Collared flycatcher)
Lineage: Eukaryota; Metazoa; Chordata; Aves; Passeriformes; Muscicapidae
Exons: 3
Source: RefSeq, a predicted model, not a curated record